UAGGGAAUAUUAGUAAUGGGCGAAAGCCUGAACUAGCAACGCCGCGUGUGCGAAGAAGGCCUUCGGGUUGUAAAGCACUUUUUGAGAGGAUGAGGAAGGACGGUACUCUCAGAAUAAGUCUCGGCUAACUACGUGCCAGCAGCCGCGGUAACACGUAGGAGGCAAACGUUAUCCGGAUUUACCGGGCGUAAAGCGCGUGUAGGUGGUUUGGUAAGUAGGGCGUGAAAGCUCCUGGCUCAACUGGGAGAGGCCGUUCUAAACUGCCGAACUAGAGGAUGGUAGAGGGAGGUGGAAUUCCGGGUGUAGCGGUGGAAUGCGCAGAUAUCCGGAGGAACACCAGUGGCGAAAGCGGCCUCCUGGACCAUUCCUGACACUCAGACGCGAAAGCGAGGGUAGCAAACGG
Molecule: ribosomal RNA, 403 nt
Filed under: uncultured bacterium
Lineage: Bacteria
Description: bacterial SSU rRNA
Rfam family: Bacterial small subunit ribosomal RNA
Source: RNAcentral